This 305-nucleotide ribosomal RNA is filed under the name uncultured bacterium. RNAcentral's name for it is "partial 16S ribosomal RNA". It matches the Rfam family "Bacterial small subunit ribosomal RNA", at positions 505 to 807 of the family's 1533-position model. The record is from RNAcentral.
ACAGCAGCAGCCGCGGGAAUACGAAGGGUGCAAGCGUUACUCGGAAUUACUGGGCGUAAAGCGUGCGUAGGUGGUGGUUUAAGUCCGUUGUGAAAGCCCUGGGCUCAACCUGGGAAUUGCAGUGGAUACUGGGUCACUAGAGUGUGGUAGAGGAUAGUGGAAUUUCCGGUGUAGCAGUGAAAUGCGUAGAGAUCGGAAGGAACAUCUGUGGCGAAGGCGACUAUCUGGGCCAACACUGACACUGAGGCACGAAAGCGUGGGGAGCAAACAGGAUUAGAUACCCGAGUAGUCCCUGUCUCUUAUAC